AGGACGAACGCUGGCGGCGUAGCUUAACACAUGCAAGUCGAACGGAGAUUUAGCAAUAGAAUCUUAGUGGCGAACGGGUGAGUAACGCGUAGGCAAGUCUGACCUUCUAGAUGGGGACAACAUCCCGAAAGGGGUGCUAAUACCGAAUGUUGUAGUUGGUCUGCAUGGACUAGCUACUAAAGGUGGCCUCUGAAUAUGCUACCGCUAGAAGAUGAGCCUGCGUCUGAUUAGCUAGUUGGAGGGGUAACGGCCCACCAAGGCAACGAUCAGUAGCCGGUCUGAGAGGAUGAACGGCCACACUGGGACUGAGACACGGCCCAGACUCCUACGGGAGGCAGCAGUGGGGAAUCUUCCGCAAUGGACGAAAGUCUGACGGAGCAACGCCGCGUGAAGUGAAGAAGGUUUUCGGAUCGUAAAGCUCUUUCGUUAGGGACGAACGUGCUCUUUGUGAAUAAUGAGGAGUAAUGACGGUACCUAAAUUAAGAAGCCACGGCUAACUACGUGCCAGCCGCCGC
This 515-nucleotide ribosomal RNA is filed under the name uncultured bacterium. RNAcentral describes it as "bacterial SSU rRNA". It matches the Rfam family "Bacterial small subunit ribosomal RNA", at positions 26 to 518 of the family's 1533-position model. The record is from RNAcentral.